UACGAAGGGGGCUAGCGUUGCUCGGAAUCACUGGGCGUAAAGCGCACGUAGGCGGCUUACUAAGUCAGGGGUGAAAUCCUGGAGCUCAAUUCCAGAACUGCCUUUGAUACUGGUGAGCUUGAGUCCGGAAGAGGUGAGUGGAACUGCGAGUGUAGAGGUGAAAUUCGUAGAUAUUCGCAAGAACACCAGUGGCGAAGGCGGCUCACUGGUCCGGUACUGACGCUGAGGUGCGAAAGCGUGGGGAGCAAACAGG
RNAcentral lists this ribosomal RNA (253 nucleotides) under uncultured bacterium. RNAcentral's name for it is "partial 16S ribosomal RNA". It matches the Rfam family "Bacterial small subunit ribosomal RNA", at positions 524 to 776 of the family's 1533-position model. The record is from RNAcentral.